UGUCAUUAUGUCCAAUAAAUUACAUAUCCGAGGAUCAAAAUUAACCUCCCACGUUACUGUUUCUCACUCAUACAUUCAACUCCGCUCUGGCGAAGAUUUUUACUUCUCAAAGCUCGCCGGCGCUGACUUCCGCCUGAAACCGGAAACUAGGAGCAACCACGAUGGGACUUCUCAGCAUUAUUCGAAAGAUCAAGCGAAAAGAAAAGGAAAUGCGCAUCCUUAUGGUGGGUCUUGACAACUCUGGUAAAACAACCAUAGUUUUGAAAAUAAAUGGGGAAGACACAAGUGUCAUCAGUCCGACCCUUGGCUUCAACAUCAAAACUAUCAUGUAUCAGAAGUGAAUAUCGAGAAGGCGUACCACUGAAUCAUCAAGUUUGUUCAGAAGACAUCAUCACAUACUCUUAGUUAAUUUUUACCUUUGAGUUACCUUCUAGGGCCUUGGUUUGUGGUAUUGAUCAAUUAACUACGCUUUAAUCCCAAAUCAGUUGGGCUCGGUUGUAUGAAUCGUGUUAUGUCAUUAUUGUUAGACUAUGUCUAUAUUGUCCAUUGACCUAAAAAAACCGUCCUUUUUUUAUUA
This is a non-coding RNA of Nicotiana tabacum (common tobacco), 577 nucleotides long. The record is from RefSeq and is a predicted model, not a curated record. Lineage: Eukaryota; Viridiplantae; Streptophyta; Magnoliopsida; Solanales; Solanaceae.